GUGUGAACACAUUUGGCACCAAUGUGUUUGGACAGAUGUUUGUCCCCUCUUUCCGCCUCCCCAGCAAGUACACUGGAGAGUUGAUAGGCAUCGACUACCUGUACAUGCAGACGGGGAAGUGCAUGCAGGACAUGGAUCCUGAGGGGGAGGAGACGGAGCAGCUGCUGGAGGACCUGGCCGACGAGGCAGAGGAUGAG
Molecule: long non-coding RNA, 197 nt
Organism: Gadus macrocephalus (Pacific cod)
Lineage: Eukaryota; Metazoa; Chordata; Actinopteri; Gadiformes; Gadidae
Exons: 2
Source: RefSeq, a predicted model, not a curated record